GUAAUUUCUGUAGUUAAAGCAUUUGUAAAUCUUUCUCUAACAGUAUGAAAUAAUUAUAAAUUCUGAUUAAAACAUUUUACAUUGAGACCUUUAUUUGUAAUUUUUUGUAUUUGGAAGACAGCUAUACAUUCAAUAUGAUAAGGCUGGCUUAACAUUUCAAGUCUAGGUUUCUUAUUUCCAAUGUGGCGCAUGCAUGUACUCUCCCAGAAUCUAGAACUCCCUACAUGUGGAUGUCCAGGAUGCAGUCACUCUCUGUGCUCAUAGUUAGAUGCAAAACACAAUUUAUCAUUAUGGUCUUUCCCUGGAAGAAUAACAGAAUGAUGUUAGAUGAAGAAUAUCUGACAAGACUAUUAAAUACAGUUUAAAAAACAAACUAAAAAAUUUUCUUAUCAAAACUGAUGAUAGUGAUUGGAAAUUAUAAUCAAGGUAUUUUCAAGAAAUGACUCCAUCUCUGAACCUGCAGACGUUGACCACAUUGCUUCAGCUUCUAAUGGAGCAGUUCCCAAUGUUCUCAAGCCAGUGACAGGAAAAAGGGGCAGGAGCUAUACUUUUCCCAAUUUCUUGAAGAUUUGAAGUGUUAUAACAAUAUGUUCAAUAACCAAUCAAGAUUGUUUGUGAAACCCCUACCAUUGGUGUUUUUGUUGUUGACGUGGCUAAUUUUGGAUAAUCUGACUUUAUUAUUGGCCUUUUUGUGGACAGAUCUCUUUUAUGAAGUAUGAGCAUAAUCUACCAAGACUAAAUAUUUAAUAGGCUGGCACGUUUGGAUUAAUCGGG
Non-coding RNA from Pelobates cultripes (western spadefoot toad), 774 nucleotides. The record is from the annotation of a GenBank genome assembly. Lineage: Eukaryota; Metazoa; Chordata; Amphibia; Anura; Pelobatidae.